UCCUGGUCCUCCCAGCAGCUUGGAAGGGGUGCUUUGCUGUUGCUACACCUGAGGUUUUACAUCUACCAGCUGGAGAGGAAUUUUACUUUGCGUCAGUUAAAUAUUAAGCAUAUUUCAGAAAACAGACAAACGUUUCUUUGUGACCUGAAGCCGCAGGAGAGCAUCUGCUACUGUAAUGCCAGUUGAACAAUGAUGACAGCCAACUAUGAAGAGAAAGGAGGCACAGAGAGUUCGGAUUGUAGUGAAGCUCAGCACCUUGCUGUGGAGGACAAGGCUUCCUGCAGGAAUGUGGACAUGCUGGUCUGAAAUUUAUCACACACAGGUCCUAAAUCGCAGACAUGACCCUCAAGAUGUCCCACUGUGGGGAAAUCUGGCAGGUUGUUUAAAGAAAAUUCACACCCUGGAGGAUGAGCCCCUGCCUUUCCUGCCAAAGCCACCAAAAGGAAAACGUUGGAGAUGGGCUUACUGGGAGAAACACUAACCAGACAGGACAUCAUGGAGUGCUGGACAAACGGAGGGUGUGAGGUUGCAGUGAAGCAUGAGGCUGAAAGAGAGAAGUGAAGAUAGUGAGCAUGAUUGCAGAGGCUGCCUGCACAGCUGCUGGGACCCAUGCCAGGAGAGGAGAAGUGGGUGCUGAGGAUCUCCACAUACCCUCCAGUCACACCACCCUUGUGCAAAGUACAACUAUCCACAGAAAACUUAGAGAGAAACAUUU
Centrocercus urophasianus (Greater sage-grouse) is the source of this 715-nucleotide long non-coding RNA. RefSeq lists it as uncharacterized. The record is from RefSeq and is a predicted model, not a curated record. The transcript has 3 exons. NCBI's taxonomy places the organism in Eukaryota, Metazoa, Chordata, Aves, Galliformes, Phasianidae.